CUUUCAUUCUCUUUCCUUCUCUCUCUUUCUUCUACUCUCUCUCUCUCUCUUUGUCUGAAUAUAUAUGGAAUACUUAUGCACAUCCAUUCUAUACUAGUAUAAUAUUUUUUAAUAUUUGUGCUGAAGCAGACAUUGGCAACAUAUGAAAUACCGGUAUCCAUACAUUUUAAUCUUUAUCAGAUCAUAUUUCACAAACAGUACACUAUAAUAUUUUGUUUAGAAAUAUCCUCUAACAAUAUCUUCGAGGUGCCGACCCUUUUUCGGUAUACAAAAUACUAAAACGUGGGGUGCUACCCCUUCCCCCCUCACGAAGUUGUACU
Non-coding RNA from Biomphalaria pfeifferi, 320 nucleotides. The record is from the annotation of a GenBank genome assembly. NCBI's taxonomy places the organism in Eukaryota, Metazoa, Mollusca, Gastropoda, Planorbidae.